AUCUAUAAAUUGAAACUCUCAAGCCAGCCUCAACUUAAAGAGCAAACAAUAGAUAAUUUCCUUCAUAAUUUAACCUAAAUUUGCUCUAAAUCUCAACUGCUUCAUGGAUUCCUCGUUUGGAAAGUUCUCUACUUUUCAUUCUAUUAGAUUACAACUUUUGUCUUGAUUUCUUUCCGUGCAAAGAUGUCACUCGAAUUGAUAAGAUGGAAAAUUCUCCCCGACUCACUCUCCGUAUGUUUCAACAAAUUUUCCCAACAUAUGCACCAACACAAAUUUAAACGUUUUUGAAAUAAUACCCUUGUUUGAUCCCCAUUCUUUAAAGAAAAUGAAUUCUUCUACAUUGUUUUGACAUAAUUUUAACCACAUUUUUCAAAAAAAUAAUAUUACACGUAAAUUUAAAACUUUUUUUUUAACCACAUAUUUCACAUCAAUAUACUAUUCAAAAAUUCAUUUUUCCCCUCAAAAUGGGACUAAAACAAGGGCAAUAUUAGAUAAGAUAGAGCAGGACAACAAAUACCUUGUCCGCCCCUGCCAAUCCGUGUGCGCAGGUUGAAUGAAUUUUUUGCCACCCCUAAAAUUUUGUCGCAAGUUGUUUACUUGACUAUAUUGUCAAAUAAAAGCCAAGUGUAUAUCAACACAAAUUCCUCCUGCACAAGUCUCUACUCUUGUAUAUGUUGACAAUCUUAUAAUUAUUCAAAAGAUGUAAAGACAAAUGACAUUUCUUACAGCUAAUCAAUUAAAAUAUCUUGGUUCUGGCCUUAAGAAAGCUGCUUAAUCGGUGUGGGUAGAAAGACACAAUUUUCCCAUUUGACACCUCAAGUUUGAUUAGUGUGUGAAUGGUAUCUUUUCUUUAGACCAGCGUGCCACAUAUGCUUCCAGUAUUCAACUUGCUCCAAUGGUCGACACCGACAUAUAUAGAUUUUGUACCGUGUGUUUAUCCGUCAAUUCCUUUUCUUUUAUAUAUUUUUUUUCUUUUUGGCAUUUUCCAAUUUUCCAGAUUUUCUCAUCAAUAAUGUUCAAAAAACAAACAUUAAUUUAUGAUUGAAGAUAAUAGAGAUGACACAAGAAUGAAGAAUAUUUGGCUUAGAAGACUCGAAAAGUCGUGUAUCAUAUUAAUUGUUAGGGUCGAUGAUGAUCUCAAC
Molecule: long non-coding RNA, 1142 nt
Filed under: Olea europaea subsp. europaea
Lineage: Eukaryota; Viridiplantae; Streptophyta; Magnoliopsida; Lamiales; Oleaceae
Source: RNAcentral